RNAcentral lists this ribosomal RNA (2896 nucleotides) under Clostridioides difficile. RNAcentral describes it as "bacterial LSU rRNA". It matches the Rfam family "Bacterial large subunit ribosomal RNA". The record is from RNAcentral. Lineage: Bacteria; Bacillati; Bacillota; Clostridia; Peptostreptococcales; Peptostreptococcaceae.
UCAAGUUAUUAAGGGUGCAGGGCGGAUGCCUUGGCACUAGGAGCCGAUGAAGGACGUGAUAAGCUGCGAUAAGCUUCGGGGAGUUGCACGUAAACUUUGAUCCGAAGAUUUCCGAAUGAGGAAACUCACUUAGAGUAAUGUCUAAGUAUCAUUAAGUGAAUACAUAGCUUAAUGAGGGGAACUCAGGGAACUGAAACAUCUAAGUACCUGAAGGAAGAGAAAGAAAUUCGAUUCCGUAAGUAGCGGCGAGCGAACGCGGAUUAGCCCAAACCAAUAAAGUUUUCUUUAUUGGGGUUGCGGACAUAUCAUAACGAAGAGGUAUCGUAAUUGAAGAGGUUUGGAAAGACCCACCACAGAAGGUAAUAGUCCUGUAUGUUAAACGAGAAGACUUUAGAUAUGAUCCAGAGUACCACGGGACACGUGAAACCCUGUGGGAAGCAGGAGGGACCACCCUCCAAGGCUAAAUACUACCUAGUGACCGAUAGCGUAUAGUACCGUGAGGGAAAGGUGAAAAGAACCCCGGGAGGGGAGUGAAAUAGAACCUGAAACCCUGCACUUACAAGCUGUGGAAGCACAUUUCUUGUGUGACCGCGUACUUUUUGUAGAACGGGCCAACGAGUUACGUUAAGUAGCAAGGUUAAGCACUUAAGGUGCGGAGCCGUAGCGAAAGCGAGUUUUAACUGAUCGUUCAGUUACUUGACGUAGACCCGAAACCGGGCGACCUACCCAUGAGCAGGAUGAAGCGAAAGUAAAAUUUCGUGGAGGUCCGAACCCACGAGCGUUGAAAAGCUCGGGGAUGACUUGUGGGUAGCGGUGAAAUUCCAAUCGAGCCCGGAGAUAGCUGGUUCUCCCCGAAAUAGCUUUAGGGCUAGCCUCAAGGUGAGAGAUACGGAGGUAGAGCACUGAAUGUCCUAGGGGGUAUUGCACCUACCGAAGACUAUCAAACUCCGAAUGCCGUCAUCUUAUACUUGGGAGUCAGACUGUGGGUGAUAAGAUUCAUAGUCGAAAGGGCAACAGCCCAGAUCGUCAGCUAAGGUCCCUAAAUGUAAGUUAAGUGGUAAAGGAUGUGGGAUUGCACAGACAACCAGGAUGUUGGCUUAGAAGCAGCCACUCAUUCAAAGAGUGCGUAAUAGCUCACUGGUCGAGUGAUCCUGCGCCGAAGAUUUCCGGGGCUAAAACUUACUACCGAAGCUACGGCAUCAGUAAUGAUGGGUAGGGGAGCUUCCCAUACGGGUUGAAGCAUGACCGUAAGGACAUGUGGACAGUAUGGGAGUGAGAAUGUUGGCAUGAGUAGCGAGAUGUGGGUGAGAAUCCCACAGGCCGUAAACCCAAGGUUUCCAGGGGAAGGUUCGUCCGCCCUGGGUUAGUCGGGACCUAAGCUGAGGCCGAAAGGCGUAGGUGAUGGACAACAGGUUGAUAUUCCUGUACUACCGAUAACCGUUUGAGAGAAGGGAUGACACAGUAGGAUAAGCUAAGCACACUGUUGGUUAUGUGUGCCCAAGCAUUGAGGCAGUCAAAGUAGGCAAAUCCGCUUUGAUAAUGCUGGGAUGUGAUGGGGAGCGAAAUUUAGUAGCGAAGUAGCUGAUUUCACACUGUCAAGAAAAGUCUCUAUCGAGGUUAAAGGUACCCGUACCGCAAACCGACACAGGUGGGUGAGGAGAGUAUCCUAAGGCCAGCGAGAGAACUGUUGUUAAGGAACUCGGCAAAAUGACCCCGUAACUUAGGGAUAAGGGGUGCCACCAUCAGGUGGCCGCAGAGAAUAGGCCCAAGCGACUGUUUACCAAAAACAUAGGUUUCUGCUAAGUCGCAAGACGAUGUAUAGGAGCUGACGCCUGCCCGGUGCUGGAAGGUUAAGGGGAUCUGUUAGAGCAAUCGAAGCAGUGAACUUAAGCCCCAGUAAACGGCGGCCGUAACUAUAACGGUCCUAAGGUAGCGAAAUUCCUUGUCGGGUAAGUUCCGACCCGCACGAAAGGCGUAACGAUUUGGGCACUGUCUCAACAACAGACUCGGUGAAAUUGUAAUUCCGGUGAAGAUGCCGGAUACCUGCGACAGGACGGAAAGACCCCAUGGAGCUUUACUGUAGCUUGACAUUGGGUCUUGGUACUACAUGUACAGGAUAGGUGGGAGGCUUUGAAACCAGGACGCCAGUUUUGGCGGAGCCAUCCUUGGGAUACCACCCUUGUAGUACUGGGACUCUAACCAUAGGCCAUGAAUCUGGUCUUGGGACACUGUCAGGUGGGCAGUUUGACUGGGGCGGUCGCCUCCCAAAAGGUAACGGAGGCGCUCAAAGGUUCUCUCAGUACGGUCGGAAAUCGUACGUAGAGUGUAAAGGCAAAAGAGAGCUUGAUUGCAAGACAUACAGGUCGAGCAAGGAUGAAAAUCGGACUUAGUGAUCCGGUGGUUCUGCGUGGAAGGGCCAUCGCUCAACGGAUAAAAGCUACCCUGGGGAUAACAGGCUUAUCUCCCCCAAGAGUCCACAUCGACGGGGAGGUUUGGCACCUCGAUGUCGGCUCAUCACAUCCUGGGGCUGUAGUAGGUCCCAAGGGUUGGGCUGUUCGCCCAUUAAAGUGGUACGCGAGCUGGGUUCAGAACGUCGUGAGACAGUUCGGUCCCUAUCCGUCGCAGGCGUAGGAAAUUUGAGAAGACCUGUCCUUAGUACGAGAGGACCGGGAUGGACGUACCUCUGGUGUACCAGUUGUCCUGCCAAGGGCAUGGCUGGGUAGCUAUGUACGGAAUGGAUAAGCGCUGAAAGCAUCUAAGCGCGAAGCCAACUUCAAGAUAAGAUUUCCCACCGCAAGGGUAAGACCCCAGAAAGACUAUCUGGUUGAUAGGUCGAAGGUGUAAGUGCAGCAAUGUAUUUAGCUUAUCGAUACUAAUAGGUCGAGGACUUGACCAA